GCCUGCCUCUACUUCUCUACUCUCUCCCUCUCUCUGCCUUUUUCUGCCUCUACUACUCUCCUAGCUCCCCUUGCCACCAUGACGAUAAAGGCCUUAAAACCAGGGAUUCUCUUCCGGUGCUGAUGCUGGGGAGACAAACCUUCCCAGGGUAGAGAUGACCUUGUCAGGGAUUUGAGGAAGAACAUUAAUGAAUCCAUCAAACAUGGACUGUAUGGGAGGAAACUCACUGGGCAGAACAACAGAAUCCUCAUUUUACAGGAAAACAAAGGCAUACACAGAAGGAGACAGACUUAGUUGGGACCAGUAGAGAACAUGACCACAGUAGGCAUGCUACAGACUGGUUCCCAUGAUCCUGCUGAGGAGACAGAGAGCCUGCUGUCUUUCUAACUGGCCCUGCUUUGUGAGAAGAGAGUUUCUCUACCAGACAUCCAUCCAGGUUCCCCCUCGCCCCCUUGCUUCUUUGUAGUUUGUAACCCAUGAAGCCAAGGAGAGGGGCCAUGCUUCCUGGACCUAAGCCUUAUUCCUUCCAAUUAAAGAUUGUUUUGUUGACACAUGCUUGCAUAAUCAAAUUGAUAUUUUAAAGAAGAAUAAAGAGCAUAGUCACUAGCA
Molecule: long non-coding RNA, 609 nt
Organism: Mastomys coucha (southern multimammate mouse)
Lineage: Eukaryota; Metazoa; Chordata; Mammalia; Rodentia; Muridae
Exons: 3
Source: RefSeq, a predicted model, not a curated record